UUUAUUUGAUAGUACCUAUCCUACAUGGAUAACAGUGGUAAUUCUAGAGCUAAUACAUGCUAAAAGCUCCAACUUCGGAAGGAGCGUAUUUAUCAGAUUCAGAACCAAUGCCCUCACGGGCUCCUUGGUGGCUCAUGAUAACUCCACAGAUCGCAUGGCCUUGCGCCGGCGAUGGCUCAUUCAAAUUUCUUCCCUAUCAACUUUCGACGGUACGGUCUUGGCCUACCGUGGUUGCAACGGGUGACGGAGGGUUAGGGCUCGACCCCGGAGAGGGAGCCUGAGAAACGGCUACCACAUCCAAGGAAGGCAGCAGGCGCGCAAAUUAUCCAAUCCCGACUCGGGGAGAUAGUGACAAUAAAUACCGAUACAGGGCUCUUUUGGGCCCCGUAAUUGGAAUGAGUACAAUUUAAACCUCUUAACGAGGAACAAUUGGAGGGCAAGUCUGGUGCCAGCAGCCGCGGUAAUUCCAGCUCCAAUAGCGUAUAUUAAAGUUGUUGUGGUUAAAAAGCUCGUAGUCGAACCUCGAGCCCGGCCGGCCGGUCCGCCUCACCGCGUGCACUGGUCUGGCCGGGCUCUUCCCUCUGCGGAACCGCAUGUCCUUUACUGGGCGUGUCGGGGAGGCAGGACUUUUACUUUGAAAAAAUUAGAGUGCUCAAGGCAGGCCAAUGCUCGGAUACAUUAGCAUGGAAUAAUAGAAUAGGACGUUGGUUCUAUUUUGUUGGUUUCUAGGACCGCCGUAAUGAUCAAUAGGGACGGUCGGGGGCAUCAGUAUUCAGCCGCGAGAGGUGAAAUUCUUAGACCGGCUGAAGACUAACUACUGCGAAAGCAUUUGCCAAGGACGUUUUCGCUGAUCAGGAACGAAAGUUAGGGGAUCGAAGACGAUCAGAUACCGUCGUAGUCUUAACCAUAAACGGUGCCGACUUGGGAUCGGGCGCUGUUCUCUCUAGACGCGCUCGGCACCAUUCGAGAAAUCAAAGUGCGUGGGCUCCAGGGGGAGUAUGGCGGCAACGCUGAAACUUAAAGAAAUUGACGGAAGGGCACCACCAGGGGUGGAACCUGCGGCUUAAUUUGACUCAACACGGGGAAACUCACCAGGUCCGGACACAAUGAGGAUUGACAGAUUGAGAGCUCUUUCUUGAUUUUGUGGGUGGUGGUGCAUGGCCGUUCUUAGUUGGUGGGGUGACUUGUCUGCCUAAUCGCGAUAACGAACGAGACCUUGACUGCUAAAUAGCACGCUCCGCCUCGGCGGUGCCGCGGCUUCUUAGUGGGACUAUCGGCUCAAGCCGAUGGAAGUUCGAGGCAAUAACAGGUCUGUGAUGCCCUUAGAUGUCCUGGGCCGCACGCGCGUGACACUGACAGAGCCAGCGAGUUUUUCCUUGGCCGGAAGGCCCGGGUAAUCUUGUGAAACUCUGUCGUGAUGGGGAUAGAGCAUUGCAAUUGUUGCUCUUCAACGAGGAAUCCCUAGUAAGCGCAAGUCAUCAGCUUGCGUUGAUUACGUCCCUGCCCUUUGUACACACCGCCCGUCGCUACUACCGAUUGAAUGGCUCAGUGAGGUCUUCGGACUGGCCCAGGGAGGCGGGCGACUGCCACCCAGGGCCGGAAAGUUGCCCAAACUCGGUCAUUUAGAGGAAGUAAA
RNAcentral lists this ribosomal RNA (1636 nucleotides) under Neoascotaiwania limnetica. RNAcentral describes it as "SSU rRNA". It matches the Rfam family "Eukaryotic small subunit ribosomal RNA". The record is from RNAcentral. Lineage: Eukaryota; Fungi; Ascomycota; Sordariomycetes; Savoryellales; Savoryellaceae.